GCCUGGGCAACAUAGGGAGACCCUGUCUCUACAAAAAAAAUACAAAAAGUUAGCCAGACGUGGUGGCACAUACCUGUAGCCCCAGCUACUUGGGAGGCUGCGGUGAGAAGAUCCCUUGAGCCUGGGGGGUCAAGGCUGCAGUGAGCUGUGGUUGUGCCACUGUACUCCAGCCUGAGUGACAGAGUGAGACCCUGUCUCAAAAAAAAAAAAAGAAAAGAAAAAGAACUGGACCAUGGCCUCUUGAUCCCACCCUGGGCCUGGGGAGUUCUACCCCCAGCUCCUUCCAGUGGCAGUCCUCCCCUAAGCCAGUCCCAGAGGAAUGCCUCCCUCCCAGACCUGCUCCAGACUUCGCUGCAACUAGGGAGCCAAGGCUGGCAUGCCCUGAGAAGGCCUCAGCAAGCGAUGCAAGAGAGGCUAUGGCACUUCUGUUCUCCUGAAAAGUUUUGGGAAUGGGAGAGCGCCUCCUUCUCUCUGGGCUGAGCUAUGUGACCCAGUGGCAGGGGCCUUGAACCACCGCUGGUUAGCCUCUGCCUCCCUUUCCACUGCCCCAGUGCAGUUCCAGAUGGAGACUCCUCUCAGUCUCCUCUCAGUCUCCUGCUGUGGCCCCGCUUGGCCCAGCAUGGAACAGAGUUCGUGGAAGGCGAUCAUUUCUGCUGCAUUUGCCACAGCUCAUGUUUCCCCUAAGAAGGUUUAGCGGAGAACUUGACUUAAGACUGCUGAGGGCAAAGCAGCCAGCCCGGCAGGGGUGGGAGGGCUGGACAGCAGAGGGGAGGCAGGAUAACCACUGAGCCAGGAACCAGGAGGGGAGGAGCCAUCUUAUCCACCCAAGGACACCAGAGGAGUGUUCUCUCCAGGAGGCUCCAGGCCUUAUAGCCCUGGGUCUUAACCCCUGCCGCAGCCCUCGCUCCAGUGUCUCUCUCCCCAGUCUUUUCAUCCCUCUCCAUCCCUUUCUUGAUCUCCGUACACACUCAUACCACCCACCCUCCCUCCCUCUCUUCUCCCACUUCCCCUCUCUCCUUUCUCACCAUCUCUCCUCAUUAUGCCUUCUCUACUCGAUCACCCCUUUGCAGAGAAACCUUUCCUCCUUCUUGCUCUUUUCCAGUUGAAUUUCCUCGCCCCGUUGUCCCAGGUGGCUGGACAUGCAGCAGAAGGGAACUGGGGAGACUCUCGCACUGCCAAUCAUUUCUCAAAACUCAGGUUCCAGUUUGAGACCCGCCUGGCCAACAUGGUGAAACCCCAUCUCUACAAAAAAUACAAAAAUUAGCCGGGCAAGGUAGCGCACCUGUAGUCCCAGGUACUCGGGAGACUGAGGCAUGAGAAUCCCUUGAAACUGGGAGGCGGAAGUUGCAGUGAGCUGUGAUCGUGCCACUGCACUCCAGCCUGGUUGACAGAGCAACAUGCUAUCUCUAAAACAAACAAACAAACAAAAACUCAGGUUCCCACACCCUCUAAACCCUGCCUGCUCUCAGGCUACAGAGACCUCUCCAGGAGGCUGAAGUGCCCUUACCCCGACCAUCUGACCAGCCACCGCCCCAUGCCCGUGCCCCACCGAGGGCGGAGGCUGCUCACUGCUCUGUUUUAUCUCUGGCCUCUGAUCCUGCAUUCUUGUGCCAGGGCUUAGACCCAGGGCAAGGUCUUAGACCCAGGGCAGGGGUAGGGUUAAAGGCUUUCAACCCAGGGGCCAGUGCCUUAAUUCAUGCAACAAAUGUUUUCUGGCUGUGUGCUUUAUUCAUGUG
Molecule: long non-coding RNA, 1736 nt
Filed under: Homo sapiens (human)
Lineage: Eukaryota; Metazoa; Chordata; Mammalia; Primates; Hominidae
Description: non-protein coding lnc-TNS4-2:1
Source: RNAcentral